This 464-nucleotide ribosomal RNA is filed under the name Vreelandella stevensii. Its description in RNAcentral is "partial 16S ribosomal RNA". It matches the Rfam family "Bacterial small subunit ribosomal RNA", at positions 338 to 795 of the family's 1533-position model. Lineage: Bacteria; Pseudomonadati; Pseudomonadota; Gammaproteobacteria; Oceanospirillales; Halomonadaceae. The record is from RNAcentral.
CCUACGGGCGGCUGCAGUGGGGAAUAUUGGACAAUGGGCGAAAGCCUGAUCCAGCCAUGCCGCGUGUGUGAAGAAGGCCUUCGGGUUGUAAAGCACUUUCAGUGGGGAAGAAAGCCUUGGGGCUAAUACCCUCGAGGAAGGACAUCACCCACAGAAGAAGCACCGGCUAACUCCGUGCCAGCAGCCGCGGUAAUACGGAGGGUGCGAGCGUUAAUCGGAAUUACUGGGCGUAAAGCGCGCGUAGGCGGUCUGAUAAGCCGGUUGUGAAAGCCCCGGGCUCAACCUGGGAACGGCAUCCGGAACUGUCAGGCUAGAGUGCAGGAGAGGAAGGUAGAAUUCCCGGUGUAGCGGUGAAAUGCGUAGAGAUCGGGAGGAAUACCAGUGGCGAAGGCGGCCUUCUGGACUGACACUGACGCUGAGGUGCGAAAGCGUGGGUAGCAAACAGGAUUAGAACCCUUGUAGUC